GACGAACGCUGGCGGCGUGCUUAACACAUGCAAGUCGAACGGAAAGGCCCUGCUUGCAGGGUGCUCGAGUGGCGAACGGGUGAGUAACACGUGGGUGAUCUGCCCCUUACUUUGGGAUAAGCCUGGGAAACUGGGUCUAAUACUGGAUAGGACCAUGCUGUAGGUGGAGGGGUGGAAAGAGUAGUUUCGGUACGGGAUGAGCUCGCGGCCGAUCAGCUUGUUGGUGGGGUAAUGGCCUACCAAGGCGUCGACGGGUAGCCGGCCUGAGAGGGUGGACGGCCGCAUUGGGACUGUGCUACGGCCCAGAGUCCUGCGGGAGGCAGCAGUGGGGAAUAUUGCACGAUGGGCGCAAGCCUGAUGGAGCGACGCCGCGUGAGGGAUGACGGCCUUCGGGUUGUAAACUCCUUUCAGCCAUGACGAAGCCCUUGUGGUGACGGUAGUGGUAGAAGAAGCACCGGCUAACUACGU
This 468-nucleotide ribosomal RNA is filed under the name uncultured bacterium. Its description in RNAcentral is "partial 16S ribosomal RNA". It matches the Rfam family "Bacterial small subunit ribosomal RNA", at positions 28 to 506 of the family's 1533-position model. The record is from RNAcentral.